AAUCAACGCUGGCGGCGUGCCUCAGACAUGCAAGUCGAACGCGAAAGUUCCCUUCGGGGAGCAAGUAGAGUGGCGCACGGGUGAGUAACACGUAGGUAAUUUGCCUUCGGGUGGGGAAUAACAGUCGGAAACGACUGCUAAUACCGCAUAAUGCAGCGGCUCGACAUCGAGACAGUUGUUAAAGCGGGGGAGUCCUUCGGGACCUCGCGCCUGAAGAGAAGCCUGCGGCAGAUUAGCUAGUUGGUGAGGUAAUGGCCCACCAAGGCUACGAUCUGUAACCGGCCUGAGAGGGCGGUCGGUCACACUGACACUGACAUACGGGUCAGACUCCUACGGAGGCAGCAGUCGGGAAUUUUGGGCAAUGGGCGCAAGCCUGACCCAGCAACGCCGCGUGAAGGAUGUAAAUUUUUCGGUAAUGUAAACUUCGCAAGAACGGGAAGAAUAAGUUCA
Molecule: ribosomal RNA, 450 nt
Filed under: uncultured bacterium
Lineage: Bacteria
Description: bacterial SSU rRNA
Rfam family: Bacterial small subunit ribosomal RNA
Source: RNAcentral